This 256-nucleotide ribosomal RNA is filed under the name uncultured bacterium. Its description in RNAcentral is "partial 16S ribosomal RNA". It matches the Rfam family "Bacterial small subunit ribosomal RNA", at positions 793 to 1055 of the family's 1533-position model. The record is from RNAcentral.
GUCCACGCCGUAAAACGAUGGAUACUACCUGUUGGGAGCAAUCUCAGUGGCUAAGCGAAAGUGAUAAGUAUCCCACCUGGGGAGUACGUUCGCAAGAAUGAAACUCAAAGGAAUUGACGGGGGCCCGCACAAGCGGUGGAGCAUGUGGUUUAAUUCGAUGAUACGCGAGGAACCUUACCAAGGCUUAAAUGUAGUUUGACCGUUUUGGAAACAGAACUUUCGCAAGACAAAUUACAAGGUGCUGCAUGGUUGUCGU